UUUUGUUUGCCUUAAAAUUCUUCAUAUUUUAAAAUAAAUCAGAGGAUUCUAGUGGGUUUUUUUAAGUUGCUUGCUUUGGGGCAGGAUUGCUCACACCUAUACCUAUAAUUCAAUUUUAAUUAUGGAGACAUACAAUUAACUACUUCCAGGGUGGUGCAGGAUGAACUAAUCAAUAGACAGCAGCAUGUUUUUUUGCUGAACAGCAUCAAGAGAACAGGUAAAUCCAUAAUUCCCAAGACACAAGUGGAAUAAAUGUCAUCAUUCAUUUGUGAGUCUAUGGGCAUGUUAUGUUCCUUUGUGUGUUCAUCUGAAAAAAGUAAUAUAUGAUAAACCUCUGCCUUAACACAAUUCUUUUCCCAUCACGGAUACAAUAGCACAUUUGCAUCAUCCAUACAUCAGUUAUCCACUACCUUGAUUGGUUUAUUUUACUCAUUGGAUAGCUGGCCAAGUGCAAGGGCCUCUCUAAAAUUGGUAUUUCUGAAGAGACUGCAGACAGCUUCAGGACAUUAUGUAAAUCAAGUGAAUUUCAAAUUAAUUGAUAAAUGCUUUUCCACUUUUUUUUUAAACUGAAAUGCUGUAUUUCUAUAUAGGCUAAUAUUUACACACUAACGGAGUCUGAGUUUAACUAGAAACUCAAAUUUUCAUAAGCAUGAAGGAAAGUGACAGUAAUCUGCUGCUGAAUAAAACUGGUUUUUGCAACUACAGUUUCUACAUUUCAUAAUCCCCGUGUAAUCUCUCUUAAGCACAGAGCUCACUCUUUAAUAUAUGUGCCCCAAAAGAGGUGAAAGGAUCCAAAUCUCUUUUAUUCAUGUAGACUGCAUCAGACUACUAGUUAUUUUAUUAGAACAUAUAAUAGACCUAGCCUGACACAGUAACUCCUGUUGCAGUUACCAGAAAUAGUCCCAGAGCAUUAGCCAAAUGUUAUAUGAUACACCACCACUGGGAACUAUGUUCCUAUUCUACACCAAUUCUAGAAAAGAAACUUCAAUAAAAAACCAUCUCUUCUCAGCAGGGAAGCAGGGAAUGAAAGCAUCUGAAGGACUUAAAUUUCACAUGUUCUUCAGUGGAAAAAAUAAAACCCAUCUGAAACUGCAGGAAAUGAUUGAGGACCUUGUAAAAUUGAUGCAGGAGCAAAAAUAUCACCCAAGAGACGAGGUCACUGCAGCACAGAAGCUCAUCCCAAUAGUCAGCUGUCACUUGUCAGACAGUAGCUACAGACACUUCUCAGGGUAAUCCAUGAUAUUGUGAGGAGACAAACAUUGUCAUAGAUCACGUAAAUUAGCCGAAUCCAGAAGACAAUGGACAGUGUUGCAAGAUGCAAUUCCCAGACUGCUCAGCUGAUUGUGCCGCCUCUGAAACUCAAGCCCUUUUCCUGACUAGAGAUGGACACUGGGAGCAUCACCAAAGACACUGUGCUGUGGUGGUGGAGUGUGACCUUUGAAUGAGAACCCUAUUCUUCCCUUCCGGCUUGAUGUUGUGAUCAAAGUGCCCACUCCUUCUUUAUUUGCACUACAUUAUAAUAGGGACUAAACAUGGGCUCAUCAGUGAGGCAACUGCUGAAGACCCUGUGAGUGCAUGAGGAAAGAGCUGUACUGGCAGAACAAAGACAGGAUAUCCUAGAAAAAUCAAUAUUUUCUCAGUGAUGGUGGUUGUCCUCAGCUUGCCUCCAGCAUCCUAAUUGAUUACAAAAGAAGAAAAGACAACACUGAGUAUGUCUGCAGGAGACUGUGAAACUAAUGACAGAUAUCUGCUGAAUUUCAAUACUUCUCUAAGGAGGUUCACACAGACAGUGCCUGAGGAGUGCAGAGGUCUGAAAUGAAGUAUUUCUCAGCUUUUUGCCAAGUUAAUCUCCUUGUUCAGAGAUCACUUUGUUCAGAGAUCACCUGUGAUACUUUUUAAAGGCACAAUUAAAACUUUUGUUACAUCUCAGUAAAUAUUUGAGUAGAAACAGAGCCAACUACAAAACUACAAAUCCAAUUAAAAUAUUCUUUUCUUUAAAAAAAUUAUCCCCCAGACAUAAACGUGACCUUAACAUCCAUGUGUAUGUAUCAGAAUUAAAAUGUGCUUUGAUGUGCUUUGAUGCAGGAUAUGAAUAUCAAUUGUAUCUCUAGAAAUCCAUGUGAUUCUUGAUCCACAUUUUCCCUGUCCUCUGUAUGAUAAAUAGUGGGUAUAAAUCUAUGAAACUAACUAUACCAAAAUCAUCUACUGUCUUGGAAGCUAAGAAGGAAAAGAAAACACAUCAGCCUGUUUAUUCAAGUUUUCUCUAGAGAAACCAACAAGGAAGUUCUGCCACCUUGGAAAAGCUAUUCUUCCUUACUGCUACAUGUAAAUAUGAUUUGAUAAAAACUGUUCUGAAAUGGAAAUCUCAAAAAUUAAAAAAAUAAUAUCAAGUGCUUAUGUCUGAUAGAUAUAACAGCUCUGUGUCGAGAGGUGGAGGUGAGAAGUCUAGGAGAGCCAAGUAUGUUGUUCUGUGACAGAACAAAAGGGAAUGGUCUCAAGUUGUGCCAGGGUAGGUUUAGAUUGGCUAUUAGAAACAAUUUCCUCACUGAAAGGGCUGUCAAGCACUAGAACAGGCUGGCCAAGGCAGUAGUAGAAUCACUUUCCAUAGAAGCAAUGAGAAACCAUCUAGUUGUGGCAUUUAGGGACGUGGUUCAGUGGUGAAGGCGACUGUGUUAAGUUAAUAGUUGGACUGGAUGAUUUUAGAGGUCUUUUCCAUCUUUAACAAUUCUAUGAUUCUA
Molecule: non-coding RNA, 2738 nt
Organism: Cyanistes caeruleus (blue tit)
Lineage: Eukaryota; Metazoa; Chordata; Aves; Passeriformes; Paridae
Source: RefSeq, a predicted model, not a curated record